UACGUAGGGGGCAAGCGUUGUCCGGAUUUAUUGGGCGUAAAGCGCGUGUAGGCGGCCAUACAGGUCCGUUGUGAAAACUCGAGGCUUAACCUCGAGACGUCGAUGGAAACCGUAUGGCUAGAGUCCGGAAGAGGAGAGUGGAAUUCCUGGUGUAGCGGUGAAAUGCGCAGAUAUCAGGAGGAACACCGGUGGCGAAGGCGGAUCUCUGGGCCUUACCUGACGCUGAGGCGCGAAAGCUAGGGGAGCGAACAGG
RNAcentral lists this ribosomal RNA (253 nucleotides) under uncultured bacterium. Its description in RNAcentral is "partial 16S ribosomal RNA". It matches the Rfam family "Bacterial small subunit ribosomal RNA", at positions 524 to 776 of the family's 1533-position model. The record is from RNAcentral.